CGUGAGACUGAACUCGGCGUGACUACGGGCGUUUUACUAAAAGAUCGAUUGCCGCAAAUAGGUGAUUAAAAUACUUAUUCCAGUUUUAUAAUAAUAAUCAAGCAUUUUCAGGAUCAACACUGGCAUAAUUGACGAGACAUUGUAGCGUUCUGAGCAAAAAACGAAAACAUUAAUUAAUUUUAGAAGGCGCCAAUUAAUAAUAAAAUUUUUUGAAAGUUUCAUGAAAAUGCGACGUUGUUUUUCGGAGAAGAUUAUACUUGACUUCGGUUUUUCAUCAUUGAUGAGUCGAGCGAAAAAACGCGAAUAUAUGAAAACGAUGCCGAAUGUGAAGCAUAUGAAUAUAAUUAUAAGAUUCGUGUAAUUUUAACAUGCGGAAAGUGUGUUGCCGCGAGAGCAUGUUGCAAAGUUACCUAUUGUAAAUUAAGCAGUCGUAAAUUGUGUGAGACAAAAAUAAGGGAUUUUCAAAACGUAUUUUUUGUAUACAAAGUACAUAAGAUUGAAAAUGAUAUAAUAUACUGUCUCGCGAAUUUAUCAAUCUAUCGAAAAAGUAUAAUUAUUUAUACAAUGAGUUAUACUUCUAUUAAUUACUACCGAAAUCUUGAAUAAAACCGAAAAUAUGUUAAUAUAGCUGGAUAUAAUGAGUUUGAACAAAUUUGCAUUGCAGUACAAAGAUGAUUUCAUUUGAGCAAUUAUAACAAUAUAUCAUCUUAUAUCUACACUUAUAGAUUUCUAGAUUUUUAGUGAGUAAAACAUUAAGAAUGCACGAACAUUGUAGGUGUACACGAAAAAUUUGGCAUAAAGAAUAUUCUGCGACCCUAUUAAGAUAUUUGCUCAAAUGUAAGAAUAAUUCUUGGGUGUUACAUCGAAGAAACGUGUAAAUUUCACUUUUUUAUACGAGCAAAUAAGUGUUUAGCGAUGUGUGUGACGAUCAUUCGUACACUGUGUCUGAUUAAAGCAAGAAUACUUGAAAUUGUUAUAUUUUUACAAUAUUUCCGUUACACUCUCUAUUGUAAUUAUAGAUGGUUGUAGAGAAAUUCAGAACUUUAUCGCGACGAAAAGAUGGGUAUGAAUGAUAUAUACUUUAUAUAUAUUUAAGCACACACACUAUUCUAAAAUAAUAGGUAAUAUUUUAUCAAUAUCGAUUCUUUGUAACUUCAUCUUUUCUUAUUUACGACACAUAUAUAUAUGUUAGCCACAUUGUCAAACAUGCUAUUACGAAGUAGUAUACGCUGCAAAUCUUUGUUAAAAACGGAUAAAACUUGUAUAAAAUAUCUGCACUGUAUAUUAUGCAUAAUAUAAUUUUAAAAAACC
Non-coding RNA from Linepithema humile (Argentine ant), 1311 nucleotides. The record is from RefSeq and is a predicted model, not a curated record. Lineage: Eukaryota; Metazoa; Arthropoda; Insecta; Hymenoptera; Formicidae.